GGCUCAGGAUGAACGCUAGCUACAGGCUUAACACAUGCAAGUCGAGGGAAACGAUAUUGGAAGCUUGCUUCCGAUAGGCGUCGACCGGCGCACGGGUGAGUAACGCGUAUCCAACCUGCCCAUCACUUGGGGAUAACCUUGCGAAAGUAAGACUAAUACCCAAUGACGUCUCUAGAAGACAUCUGAAAGAGAUUAAAGAUUUAUCGGUGAUGGAUGGGGAUGCGUCUGAUUAGCUUGUUGGCGGGGUAACGGCCCACCAAGGCGACGAUCAGUAGGGGUUCUGAGAGGAAGGUCCCCCACAUUGGAACUGAGACACGGUCCAAACUCCUACGGGAGGCAGCAGUGAGGAAUAUUGGUCAAUGGACGAGAGUCUGAACCAGCCAAGUAGCGUGCAGGAAGACGGCCCUAUGGGUUGUAAACUGCUUUUAUAAGGGAAUAAAGUGAGUCUCGUGAGACUUUUUGCAUGUACCUUAUGAAUAAGGACCGGCUAAUUCCGUG
Molecule: ribosomal RNA, 498 nt
Filed under: uncultured bacterium
Lineage: Bacteria
Description: bacterial SSU rRNA
Rfam family: Bacterial small subunit ribosomal RNA
Source: RNAcentral